Molecule: transfer RNA, 66 nt
Filed under: Entomoscelis adonidis
Lineage: Eukaryota; Metazoa; Arthropoda; Insecta; Coleoptera; Chrysomelidae
Description: tRNA-Lys
Source: RNAcentral
CAUUAGAUGGCCGAACAUAAGCAAUGGAAUUUUAAACCGUAUUAUAGUACAUUUGUACUUCUAAUG